This 301-nucleotide ribosomal RNA is filed under the name uncultured bacterium. RNAcentral's name for it is "partial 16S ribosomal RNA". It matches the Rfam family "Bacterial small subunit ribosomal RNA", at positions 509 to 807 of the family's 1533-position model. The record is from RNAcentral.
CAGUAGCCGCGGGAAUACAGAGGGUGCAAGCGUUAAUCGGAAUUACUGGGCGUAAAGCGUGCGCAGGCGGUUUGUUAAGACAGAUGUGAAAUCCCCGGGCUCAACCUGGGAACUGCAUUUGUGACUGGCAAGCUAGAGUGUGGCAGAGGGGGGUGGAAUUCCGCGUGUAGCAGUGAAAUGCGUAGAUAUGCGGAGGAACACCGAUGGCGAAGGCGACUAUCUGGGCCAACACUGACACUGAGGCACGAAAGCGUGGGGAGCAAACAGGAUUAGAGACCCCUGUAGUCCCUGUCUCUUAUAC